UGCACGCACUAAUGUCAGUGGCUUUGGAUAAAAGCGUCUGCUAAAUGGCAUAUC
Molecule: non-coding RNA, 54 nt
Organism: Salmo salar (Atlantic salmon)
Lineage: Eukaryota; Metazoa; Chordata; Actinopteri; Salmoniformes; Salmonidae
Source: Rfam